Mus musculus (house mouse) is the source of this 7138-nucleotide long non-coding RNA. RefSeq annotates it as predicted gene, 31621. The record is from RefSeq and is a predicted model, not a curated record. The transcript has 3 exons. NCBI's taxonomy places the organism in Eukaryota, Metazoa, Chordata, Mammalia, Rodentia, Muridae.
GAAUUCCCUGAUCAUUUUUAACUAGAUGCAAUCUCUCUCUCUUUCUCUUUCCCUUUCUCUUACAGACAUGUGAAAAAUAGCCUAAUAAGGAUCUUCGUGGUAAAAUCAGAUGGAAAACGGGGAGGCAGAGUCGCGUCUCCAGCAGCUCAUUCGACGCGGCGGCUCCUCCGAGUUGUACAAUAAUCAUCAGUGCUGGCCCGGUGCCGCUGGAUUAUUUUGUAUAUUCAUGAAGGCCCUCAUCAGCCGUCAGGAGACUGUGCAGUAAUCCUUGGAUGAAAUAAGGCCAAUCAGAGCGAUAAUGAGGAAGGUCAAUUGCCCAGAGGCUUCUCCUCCUGUUUUCCAUCUAUUUAUAUACGUGGACCAUAAUAAGCCUCUUGGAACCAGAAGUUACUGGGCCUACAUAAACACCUGCUCUGGUUUUUUGUUUGUCUUUUACCCGAAAUCAGCAAAGUUUUUUUUUUUUUAAAUGAAUCUGCAAAACCAUGUCAAAGCUAUCAACUCAUGCAUGGAGUCGGAAAACAAAGGAGGAUUCUAAUAAUGUUUAUUUUCCUCUUUAUCAGAGACCCCCCCCCCAUACAAAAUCCCAAACCAAAAGAGGAGCCUAUAAAGGAAUGUCUAAACUGCUCACAGAGCUUUCUUUUCACAAAACGAGCGAGAAACCAUCAACAGGGCAGGGAAGGCAAACACGUCUGCCCCACACUGCUUGUGCUUUCUUGGGUCACAGAGACACAUCCGAGCAGGUCAUGGGCUGCUUCCACCGACAGAUGUCCUGAUGUGAAGGAGAGUACCACUGAAGAAAAUGCCUGAACUGCUAUUAUCUGCAUCCUUCAAGCGCUUGACAGGAUUACGACGUGCCGUUAACAUUAGCCUCAGCACAGUGUCUGGAUGAUCAGCCAUGCCUCUUGUAAAUGUCCCACAUAAACCCUGCAGGCCAUGGGCGGUCACCAUGUGAGAGACAGCAUGGCUCCAUCAGUUGGUUACUGCGGGAUUUCUGCAAAGUAUGGUUCAGAGGAUGUCAGGUCUGUUAGGACCCCUGGGCUGGGAGGGGAAAGGUAGAGGAGGGGUCAGUGACCAGCACAGGACAGAAAAGCAUCUUAAGCAAAUAUUGGAUUGUGAGCAUCGAAGAGAAACAACUCAAGAGGGCCUUCCAGCUGGCUCUAGCUGGCACCCGUUCAAUUCUUCCGGCCAUGAUGUGCCCACAAGAACGCCCCAGGAGAGAUGCUUCUGUAAGGGAGCAGCCACCAGCCACCUAAAUGAGGUCAACGGAAAGAAUGGAAAUAGUUGGAGCCUGGGGAUGACAUCAAACACUGGGUGGGUGAGGGGGAGAAAGGAGGUAUGUGGAGAGAGAGGCAGCCCAAGGGAGGCAGAGACAUGGAUGGGAGGAGUGACAGAAGGGCAGGACUUCAGGCUCUGCACCUCUUUCCGGGUGUUGUUGCCAGCCCUACUCCAACCCUGAGCCAUAAUCAACUUCCUUAAUGAAAUACGUAAUUAACAUAUUAUAAUUGUAGUAAAGAUGAUUUUGACAGAAAUCAUUUUCCAUAUCUAAUACUAUGCUAAUUUAAUCUGUUCCUUACUCCCCGACAUGACCUUUAAUGAUUAAGUUUCAUGGUGGAAUUUGUGUGUGUGUGUGUGUGUGUGUGUGUGUGUGUGUGUGUGUGUUUUGAUGGAUUGAUUUUUCCAGUGUAGUGUUUGAGACCCCUUUGUUGGCAUGCCUGUCAUUUUUCUCUCUCCUUAGAAAUCUCUCAGAGACAUGCAUGACCACACUCACUCAAAAGAAAAAUUUCAUGAAAAGAAGAUGUUAAUCUACUCUUCCCUGACGUGACCCAAGAAGCUGGCCAGUCAUAGACAUACUAAGUAAGGCAAUGGCCAGCAGGCCUUGUCAAGACAGCCUAUUUCUUCUAACUACCUGAGCUCUGACUUGAGUCAUGUCUGUGUUUGUGGCAUAUGUCAUUGCUAUAAUUAAAAUACAGCAAACCCAUCAAAGUAUUUGGUUAUCUAAGGUAUGACUAUAAGAUGGAAGUAUAAAUAAUGUCUUAAUUUUAACAAGAUGUUUUAAUCGUACACUACUCUUAGUUUUGUACCUUAUCAAUGUAAUUAUGUUAACUCAAAACAGCCUUACUGAAUCAUCUUAAUGAUCUAGCAGAUACACAUAUAAUUAAGGAGAAAUGGCUGAACUUCUUCCCUUCUUUUUGACAGCAUGAAAUCAGUUACUCGGAGGGAUCCAAAGAGUUUAAUGAGGAGUUGGAACACAUAAAAAAACACAGGCAAUGGUACUCCAGGCUGGUGUUUCUGUAAAUUUCACUUCAGCUUAUAAUAAGGAGAUAAUAUACUGUAUGACCCAAAAUACAGAUGUUGGAGUCAUUUCAACAUUCAGGACAUGUUCCAAGCGAUUUGCUUGUGUUUAAUCCCACCCCAUCCCAUGAAAAAAUAGUGGUUAAAGGCUAGGAGGCUGAGCCAAUCAUAGCAUGAGGAUCUGAGUUCAGAUCCCCAGCACAGGUCAAAAGCAUGUGAGGCAGAGCCUUGGACUCCUGAUGGACAGCUAGCCUGGUCAUCUUGUGGAUGAGUUCUAGGCGAAUGAGAGGUCAACUCAAAUAAAAGUGAGAGAUUCCUGCUCUUGUUUCAUUUCUGUUGCUGUAAUAAAACACUUUGACCAAAAGGAAUGCAAGCUGGAGGCAAGGGUUUGUUUUUCUUUGUUUGUUUGAUUGGUUGCUUUUUUAUUUAUUUUUUAUUCUUUUAUUUAUUCUUUUUUUAUAGUUUACAGGUCACAAUCCAUUAUCGAAGGAGGUCAGAAACAAUGGAGGAAUUCUGUUUUCUGGAGGGAUCUCAGGUUUCUGAUAAGUUAUCUUUCCUAUAUAGCCCAGGGCCAUCUAUCUGCAUCAGGGAAUGAAUGAUGUCUCCCACAGUGGGCACGGCCAUUAUUAUGAAGUAAUAAUCAAGACAAUCUCUCAUUUGGACCUCCCUUCUUCAGUUACUCUACACUGUGUGCCACGUUGACUGUUAAAACUGACUAGGGUGGUGUCUGAGGAAGGCUUCCGACCUCCACGGUCGCGCUCACAUACACGGACACUGCAUAGGAGUAUGCACAUACAUGCACACACAUACACACACACACACACACACACACACACACACACACACACACAUGGUGGUUGAGAUUGAGUGAAAUUUCACUAUUUAUCGCAAUUUUUUAACCAAAGAGUGUCAAUAACUGAAACAAUCAAGUUGUAUAGGUCUUUGGUUGUUGCAUUUAAGACCAGUCCUAUAUAACACACUCUGGCCUUGAACCCUCUAUACAGCCACAGAUGACUUUGAACUCUACCCUCCUGCCUCCUGCUCCCAAGUAGGGGAAUUUCAGGUGUGUGCUACCAUGUGUGAGUCUAUCAGUACGUGCUCUAGCUUUAAUGUAUGAUUUAUAGCCAAUUCCAUCAAUCACAAUUGAGUGUUAUGAUUUUAGCAUGCUUGGGUGUUUUGUUUUUUAUGUCAGGGGAAUGAGUAAGGAGAAUUUUCUAAAGACUCAAUCAAGGCUGAAAAAUAUAUACAUGGGAAUGGUAAAGUUCACAUAACAUUUUGUCCUCCUUUCUUCCUGUGGAAAAAAUGGGUAUGAGCUUAAAAGCUUGCAUUUGUCAUAGUUAAAAGAAAAUUAUUCCAGAAUAUUAAUAAAUUGGAUAUGCUUAAUAUCGAAAAGAGAAGCAUAUGGAAAUAUUAGAAGUCAACAAGAGCUUCUGGGCCAGCUUAGCUACGCCACGGCAUUGGAAGAAUUUGGAAAAGACGUUAAAUAGUUGCAGAAAAUUCUUAUUGCAUUGGUUAUUCCUUAUAUAAAUUAUACAGUAGGAACACCAAGUAAGAACAGACUGGCUGUAUGUGCUUAGGAUACACACUGUGAAAACGACCAACUUAAAUCCCUUUCUUAUGUUGAAAGUUGAUAUCCUCAAAAUAUUAAAAACAAUAUCAAGAGGACAUGGAUGUCUGAAUGUGACUUACUAUUAAAUACGUUUAUCAUUUUUGGUAAUUCUGGGAACUUGAACUCUUUGACUUUCAUGCAAAGAUUGUGAUGACAUGAGCAAAGAUGGUGGGAAUGGAUUUGAGAAGCACCUGGGAACCUAGAAAAAAAAAAAACCGCGCAUAUCUUUGGAACACAGACACUUUAGCCUAGUUGUACUCUAUAAAGUUUCACUGUGACCUUUUAUCCUACCAGGAAAAUGUAAUGUCCUCAUAUUAUUAGCUUUUAAUUUUUAUCUUGAAGAGAGGUCAAACUUAGAUUCAAAUAGCCUAGAGUUAGGAGAACUCUCAAUAAAUCUGUGGCAGUAUGAUAGUCUGUGCCUUUUUAAAGAAUUUCUUACUUCAUUCACAUUUAAUGUAAUUUUGCUAUGGCUAGAUAUUACUCAUAUUUUUUUCAUUUUACAUCUUGUGUCUUUUUGUGAUUACUGUAUCAUGUAUGUUAGAUUUUAUUGUUUAUCUUUAAAAAUUAGUUUCUCUGCUAAGUUUUAAAUAUUUAUAUACUUACUAUUAAUUAUUUUUCAGUUUCUUUCUUAUUUGUAGUUCCAGAAGUUUCAUUAUAUGUCUCCUUUAGUCUUUUUUCUUUUGCUGUGAUAACCACGGCCAAAAUAAGCUUGAAGAGGGAAGGGUUUAUCUCAUCUUACAGAUCUCAAGUCUUACUCCAUUACUGAGGGAAGUCUGGUGAAAACUCAAGACAGAAAUCUCGAUGCAGGAACUGAAUCAAAACCUACAGAGGACACAGCUUACAGGCUUGCUCUUUGAGGCUUGUUCAGCCUGAUUUCUUAUGUGCCCCACCCACCCAGAACCCCUGCCUUGGAGUGGCAUUGCUCUCGGUGACCUAGGUCCUCCCACAUGAAGUAUAUGAUGCAUGUGCAGGUUAUAAACCCAAACAACCCAUUGUUAUAGUAGUGGAGUAUUUCAUACAGUCUUUUGCUUAUAAAAACAAAUUGUUACAAAGAGUAAAAUAAGUUGACUUCAUCUUUUUAAAAAUCCCACCCAUUUUUUAAAAAAUCAUUUCUGAUAGUUUUAUUUCCUUCUUGUUGCGUGGUUUCCCCUUUCAUCCUAUAGGACCUUUUGAAAAUUUCAUUAGGUCAGUGUGGUAUACCCAAAUUAGGACUUUAAUUAUCUGUAAUAUCUCCAUUUGUCUUUAUUUUUUUGGUGAAACAGAAUAUAGAAUUCUGGUUUGAUUGAUCUCUCUCAUUGCUCACAUCUGGAAAUUUAUUGACACAUGUUCAGCAACCAUAUGGCACAAUGAAGGUACAUUGGAGAUACUGUGGGCAUCUCAGUUCAUAUGGUCAUAUUAUUAUCAUGUUCCUACAGCAGCAUGCUUGCCUAAAAUCCUGUCUCUCAGAGCACAUCCCUUGGUAAGGGGUGCCUGUCUGUUCACAUGUCCCACAAACCUCGGAGGUUCUGCUCACACAGCCUAAGUCGUGUUCUCUGUGGAUUUGCCUUAGAGCUCAUGGGGGCCUCUGCCUUCUCAGCACCAUCUUCUGCAAAGCCCAUUCAGGGAGCUCUCCACCUCAGUUGUUGGGUUUUCUGACUGUAGAAUUUUUACUUGGUUUGCCUGUUUCUCUAGUUGAGAUAUUAUUUCUUCAGCAUUUCCUAUUAUUGUAUUUCCCUUUAUUUUCUUAUGCUUAGUUUCUCUUAAUUAAGUGAACAUACAAAAUCAGAUGCUUUGAAUAUUUGGACCUGUAACAGCUAGGUUUCUUUAACAUUAAUAAUAAUUUUUUAUUAGCAGAUUACACAGAGCUGUCAUUUUCAAGGCAGGGUCUCACCAUCUAUGCCAGGCUAGCUGCAAACUUCUGGAUUUUGAGAUUACAUGUGAACAUCACGUGGACAUCAUGCCCAGUGGUAGUCUCUUUCUAGCAUGUUAAAACUUAUUUUGUUGCUGUGGGUUCUGAAUUUUAUCAUUCCAUGAUGGGGUUCCCCCUUUUAAUACUUUUUAUUGUCUUCCUCUCUGAAAUCCUUCUUCCCUGUGAUAUGUAGCCACUGAUAUUUCUGUUGGGUUUCUAUUAAUUUGAGUCAUUUUUAAAAAAAGUUCAGAUCCUAUAGAAUCAUUCUUGUGUCUUCAAAGCUUAAUAAUGAAUCAAAAAUGUGGCAGGGGUUGUGCCCAAACACUGCGUUGGCGUGCGAGGCAUGCUUGCUGGCUGACCUGGAGAUCAGUUAACGAGUGCUGUGCACUAUUCCCAGGUUCACUCAUGGUACACAAGGUCGGAAUCACAACUGACAGGCGUGUGGAAAGUGUGGCUCUGACCUCCAGGGCCUUUCAUUUCCAGAGUCUCUUAGGAGGCUAUGCUGGCUUUUAGCCCUCCCCGAAUCUGCAGCCCUGGGGUAGGAGAGCUGUGGGCCUUCCUCCUUCCUCACUGUGCUCUCUCCCACCUCAGAGGCAAGGCUGCUUGCUUACAUAGCCAGAGCUUCUGCUGAAAAGAACAAACGGGUGAGCACGAGCUGCAGGAACUGGGCAAGGGGCUGGAUGGGGCAAGCCCCAGGCAAGCAAGCAGAUAUCUUUACAUUGUAAAGACGUUUACAUCAUUAAAUGCAUUUCAAUUCCGUUUUUAUACUUGUUCUGUCUCCAGACACCUGCAUCGGUUGCCUGGCCUGUGAUCACAUUUGCUCGCAUGUGAGAUGCUGGGCUAACCUCUCUACAUAGCCACGUCAGAAUUCCCUCCAGCAAAAUAGAACCCAGAGACUUUCAUGAUAAUGGAAGGAAAAAAAGAGCCCUCAGUUCUGGUCUAUUUUUUUUCCCUGUGGUGGUUUCCAGGUCCUGUAUCUUUACAACAGCUUAAUUCUUUUCUUUGUGUCAUAGUGUUGUGGAGUCCUAAUACCGUGUUGGCACCCUAGGAAUUCAUUCCUCAGGUAAAAUCAUUUUUCACUUCCUAUCAGCUGUGCUGGGAAGAUUGAAAGUGCCUUUCACUUAGCCCCGCCCAUUACACGAGAAGAUAAAAUGAGCCAAUAUUUUUUUUUCCACACAUAUAGAGAAACCAUAAAUUAUGUCAUCUUAAGAAACUGUAUCACCUACUGUCUUACAUGGAAGUUUUAUCUUCUUACAUGUUUUCUUUUUAAAAUUCAGUGGAUAUGCAAGGAUUUAAAAAUUGCUCCACAGAAUAUUAGGCGAGGAUGCAUCCCUUGAUGGCGAUCUGGC